UGUGUGUUAGUGGAAGCGUCUGGAAAGGCGCGCGAUACAGGGUGACAGCCCCGUACACAAAAAUGCACAUACUGUGAGCUCGAUGAGUAGGGCGGGACACGUGGUAUCCUGUCUGAAUAUGGGGGGACCAUCCUCCAAGGCUAAAUACUCCUGACUGACCGAUAGUGAACCAGUACCGUGAGGGAAAGGCGAAAAGAACCCCGGCGAGGGGAGUGAAAAAGAACCUGAAACCGUGUACGUACAAGCAGUGGGAGCCUCUUAAUGGGGUGACUGCGUACCUUUUGUAUAAUGGGUCAGCGACUUAUAUUCUGUAGCAAGGUUAACCGAAUAGGGGAGCCGAAGGGAAACCGAGUCUUAACUGGGCGUUAAGUUGCAGGGUAUAGACCCGAAACCCGGUGAUCUAGCCAUGGGCAGGUUGAAGGUUGGGUAACACUAACUGGAGGACCGAACCGACUAAUGUUGAAAAAUUAGCGGAUGACUUGUGGCUGGGGGUGAAAGGCCAAUCAAACCGGGAGAUAGCUGGUUCUCCCCGAAAGCUAUUUAGGUAGCGCCUCGUGAAUUCAUCUCCGGGGGUAGAGCACUGUUUCGGCAAGGGGGUCAUCCCGACUUACCAACCCGAUGCAAACUGCGAAUACCGGAGAAUGUUAUCACGGGAGACACACGGCGGGUGCUAACGUCCGUCGUGAAGAGGGAAACAACCCAGACCGCCAGCUAAGGUCCCAAAGUCAUGGUUAAGUGGGAAACGAUGUGGGAAGGCCCAGACAGCCAGGAUGUUGGCUUAGAAGCAGCCAUCAUUUAAAGAAAGCGUAAUAGCUCACUGGUCGAGUCGGCCUGCGCGGAAGAUGUAACGGGGCUAAACCAUGCACCGAAGCUGCGGCAGCGACGCUUAUGCGUUGUUGGGUAGGGGAGCGUUCUGUAAGCCUGUGAAGGUGUACUGUGAGGUAUGCUGGAGGUAUCAGAAGUGCGAAUGCUGACAUAAGUAACGAUAAAGCGGGUGAAAAGCCCGCUCGCCGGAAGACCAAGGGUUCCUGUCCAACGUUAAUCGGGGCAGGGUGAGUCGACCCCUAAGGCGAGGCCGAAAGGCGUAGUCGAUGGGAAACAGGUUAAUAUUCCUGUACUUGGUGUUACUGCGAAGGGGGGACGGAGAAGGCUAUGUUGGCCGGGCGACGGUUGUCCCGGUUUAAGCGUGUAGGCUGGUUUUCCAGGCAAAUCCGGAAAAUCAAGGCUGAGGCGUGAUGACGAGGCACUACGGUGCUGAAGCAACAAAUGCCCUGCUUCCAGGAAAAGCCUCUAAGCAUCAGGUAACAUCAAAUCGUACCCCAAACCGACACAGGUGGUCAGGUAGAGAAUACCAAGGCGCUUGAGAGAACUCGGGUGAAGGAACUAGGCAAAAUGGUGCCGUAACUUCGGGAGAAGG
RNAcentral lists this ribosomal RNA (1417 nucleotides) under Escherichia coli. RNAcentral's name for it is "partial 23S ribosomal RNA". It matches the Rfam family "Bacterial large subunit ribosomal RNA", at positions 323 to 1746 of the family's 2925-position model. The record is from RNAcentral. Lineage: Bacteria; Pseudomonadati; Pseudomonadota; Gammaproteobacteria; Enterobacterales; Enterobacteriaceae.